RNAcentral lists this RNase P RNA (340 nucleotides) under Gammaproteobacteria bacterium RIFCSPHIGHO2_12_FULL_43_28. RNAcentral's name for it is "RNase P RNA component class A". It matches the Rfam family "Bacterial RNase P class A". From Rfam's summary of the family: Ribonuclease P (RNase P) is a ubiquitous endoribonuclease, found in archaea, bacteria and eukarya as well as chloroplasts and mitochondria. Its best characterised activity is the generation of mature 5'-ends of tRNAs by cleaving the 5'-leader elements of precursor-tRNAs. The record is from RNAcentral. Lineage: Bacteria; Pseudomonadati; Pseudomonadota; Gammaproteobacteria.
AGAGUCAGUCAGGCAGUCGCUCUACACAAAAGUGUAGGGAGGAAAGUCCGGGCUCCACAGGGUAAAGUGCCAGGUAACGCCUGGGAGAUGCGAGUCUACGGAAAGUGCCACAGAAAACAAACCGCCCCGCGAGGGGUAAGGGUGAAAAGGUGCGGUAAGAGCGCACCGCGUCAUUGGUAACAAUGGCGGCACGGUAAACCCCGCUUGGAGCAAGGCCAAAUAGAAAUUCAAUAGUGCGACCCGCACUGAAUUUGGGUAGGCUGCUUGAGAAGUUUGGCGACAAACUUCCUAGAUGAAUGGUUGCCCACGACAGAACCCGGCUUAUCGACUGACUCAUUUU